UACGAAGGGGGCUAGCGUUGCUCGGAAUUACUGGGCGUAAAGGGAGCGUAGGCGGAUGUUUAAGUCGGGGGUGAAAUCCCGAGGCUCAACCUCGGAACUGCCUUCGAUACUGGAAGUCUUGAGUCCGGGAGAGGUGAGUGGAACUGCGAGUGUAGAGGUGAAAUUCGUAGAUAUUCGCAAGAACACCAGUGGCGAAGGCGGCUCACUGGCCCGGUACUGACGCUGAGAUACGAAAGCGUGGGGAGCAAACAGG
This 253-nucleotide ribosomal RNA is filed under the name uncultured bacterium. RNAcentral's name for it is "partial 16S ribosomal RNA". It matches the Rfam family "Bacterial small subunit ribosomal RNA", at positions 524 to 776 of the family's 1533-position model. The record is from RNAcentral.